Molecule: ribosomal RNA, 253 nt
Filed under: uncultured bacterium
Lineage: Bacteria
Description: partial 16S ribosomal RNA
Rfam family: Bacterial small subunit ribosomal RNA
Source: RNAcentral
UACAGAGGUCUCAAGCGUUGUUCGGAUUCAUUGGGCGUAAAGGGUGCGUAGGUGGCGGGGUAAGUCAGGUGUGAAAUCUCGGGGCUCAACCCCGAAACUGCACUUGAUACUGCCUUGCUCGAGUACUGGAGAGGAGAUUGGAAUUUACGGUGUAGCAGUGAAAUGCGUAGAUAUCGUAAGGAAGACCAGUGGCGAAGGCGAAUCUCUGGACAGUUACUGACGCUGAGAAGCGAAAGCAUGGGGAGCGAACAGG